This 868-nucleotide ribosomal RNA is filed under the name uncultured archaeon. RNAcentral's name for it is "bacterial SSU rRNA". It matches the Rfam family "Archaeal small subunit ribosomal RNA", at positions 1 to 878 of the family's 1478-position model. The record is from RNAcentral.
CUCCGGUGGAUCCUCCCGGACCCGACUGCUAUCAGAGUGGGACUGAGCCAUGCGAGUCAACGUAGCAAUACGUGGCAUACGGCUCAGUAACACGUAGUCAACAUGCCCAGGGGACGAGGAUAACCUCGGGAAACUGAGGAUAAACCUCGAUAGGCCAUGAUUUCUGGAAUGAUUCUUGGCUCAAACCUAUAUGGCCCCUGGAUUGGACUGCGGCCGAUCAGGCUGUUGGUGAGGUAAUGGCCCACCAAACCUAUUACCGGUACGGGCUCUGAGAGGAGGAGCCCGGAGAUGGGCACUGAGACAAGGGCCCAGGCCCUAUGGGGCGCAGCAGGCGCGAAACCUCUGCAAUAGGCGAAAGCUUGACAGGGUUACUCUGAGUGAUUUCCGCUAAGGGAAUCUUUUGGCACCUCUAAAAAUGGUGCAGAAUAAGGGGUGGGCAAGUCUGGUGUCAGCCGCCGCGGUAAUACCAGCACCCCGAGUGGUCGGGACAAUUAUUGGGCCUAAAGCAUCCGUAGCCGGUCCUGCAAGUCUUCCGUUAAAUCCAGCUGCUCAACAGAUGGGCUGCGGGAGAUACUACAGGGCUAGGAGGCGGGAGAGGCAAGCGGUACUUUAUGGGUAGGGGUAAAAUCCGCUGAUCCAUAGAAGACCACCAGUGGCGAAGGCGGCUUGCCAGAACGCGCUCGACGGUGAGGGAUGAAAGCUGGGGGAGCAAACCGGAUUAGAUACCCGGGUAGUCCCAGCUGUAAACGAUGCAAACUCGGUGAUGCAUUGGCUUAUGGCCAAUGCAGUGCCGCAGGGAAGCCGUUAAGUUUGCCGCCUGGGAAGUACGGACGCAGUUCUGAAACCUUAAGGAAUUGGCGGGGGAGCA